GGGUUCGAUUAUGGCUCAGAUUGAACGCUGGCGGGAUGCUUUAAAAACUGCAAGUCGAACGGCGGCACGGACUUCGGUCUGGUGGCGAGUGGCGAACGGGUGAGUAAUGUAUCAGACGUGCCUAGUGGCGGGGAUAACUACGCGAAAGCGUAGCUAAUACCGCAUACGCCCUUCGGGGAAAGCGGGGGACCUUCGGGCCUCGCACUAUUAGAGCGGCCGAUAUCGGAUUGGCUAGUUGGUGGGAGUAACGGCUCGCAAGGCGACGAUCCGUAGCUGGUUUGAGAGGACGACCAGCCACACUGGGACUGAGAUUUCGGCCAGACUCCUACGGAGGCAGCAGUGGGGGUACGGACAAUGGGGGAAACCUGAUCCAGCCAUCCCGCGUGUGCGAUGAAGGCCUUCGGGUUGUAAAGCACUUUUUGGCAGGGGGAAAGAAACGACACGGGAUAAUACCCCGUGCAACCCGAAGCGGUACCUGCAGAAUAAGCACCGGCUAACUACGUGCCAGCAGCCGCGGUAAUACGUAGGGUGCAAGCGUUAAUCGGAAUUACUGGGCGUAAAGCGUGCGCAGGCGGUUCGGAAAAGAAAGAUGCCGAAAAUCCGAAACGCUUUGGAACUGCAUUUUUAACACCGAGCUAGAGUGUGUCAGGGAGGUGGAAUUCACGUGUAAGCAAAAUUGAAAAUGCGUAGAUAUGCGGAGGAACACCGAUGGCGAAGGCAACCUCCUGGGAUAACACUGACGCUCAUGCACAAGCGUGGGGAGCAAACAGGAUUAGAUACCCUGGUAGUCACGCCUAAGCGAUCAUCAACUAGCUGUUGGGGCCUUCGGGCCUUGGUAGCGCAGCUAACGCGUGAGAUUGACCGCCUGGGAGUACGGUCCCUUAAGAUUAAACUCAAGGAAUUGACGGGGACCCGCACAAGCGGUGGAUGAUGUGGAUUAAUUCGAUGCAACGCGAAAAACCUUACCUACCGCCAGCAUGUCACUGGAAUCCCGAAGAGAUUUGGGAGUGCUCGCAAGGAGAACGGAACACAGGUGCUGUGGCUGUCGUCAGCUCGUGUCGUGAGAUGUUGAUUAAGUCCUGGCAGAGCGCAACCCUUGUCAUUAGUUGCUAUACGAAAGGGCACUCUAAUGAGACUGCCAGUGACAAACCGGAGAAGGUGGGACGAAUGAUCCUCAUGGCCCUUAUGGGUAGGGCUUCACACGUCAUACAAUGGUCGGGACAGAGGGUCGCCAACCCGCGAGGAGCCAAUCCCAGAAACCCGAUCGUAGUCCGGAUCGCAGUCUGCAACUCGACUGCGUGAAGUCGGGAUCGCUAGUAAUCGCGGAUCAGCAUGUCGCGGUGAAUACGUUCCCGGGUCUUGUACACACCGCCCGUCACACCAUGGGGAGUGGGUUUACCAGAAGUAGUUAGCCUAACCGUAGGGGGCGGUUCACACGGUAAGUUCAUGACUGGGUGAAGUCAGCCAACAAGGUAG
Molecule: ribosomal RNA, 1476 nt
Filed under: uncultured Bordetella sp.
Lineage: Bacteria; Pseudomonadati; Pseudomonadota; Betaproteobacteria; Burkholderiales; Alcaligenaceae
Description: partial 16S-23S ribosomal RNA intergenic spacer
Rfam family: Bacterial small subunit ribosomal RNA
Source: RNAcentral